Molecule: ribosomal RNA, 254 nt
Filed under: uncultured bacterium
Lineage: Bacteria
Description: partial 16S ribosomal RNA
Rfam family: Bacterial small subunit ribosomal RNA
Source: RNAcentral
UACGAAGGGGGCUAGCGUUGCUCGGAAUCACUUGGGCGUAAAGGGUGCGUAGGUGGUGAGGUAAGUCGGAUGUGAAAUCUCCGGGCUCAACCCGGAAAUGGCAUUGGAAACUACCUUGCUGGAGGAUUUGAGGGGGGAUUGGAAUACUUGGUGUAGCAGUGAAAUGCGUAGAUAUCAAGUGGAACACCAGUGGCGAAGGCGAAUCCCUGGAAAAUACCUGACACUGAGGCACGAAAGCUAGGGGAGCAAACAGG